AGUCGACGCGAACAGAACAACUAAUUCGUUAGAAGUUCUUAGUAGAGUGGCGAACGGGUGAGUAACACGUGGAUAACAUACCUUUCAGUGGGGAAUAACAUCGGGAAACUGAUGCUAAUACCGCAGAUGUCAUUUCAUUGAUUUUGAUUUGACUAAAGGGGGGGCUCCUUAGGGACCUCUCGCUGAUUGAUUGGUCCGCGGCCCAUUAGCUUGUUGGUGGGGUAAUGGCCUACCAAGGCUGCGAUGGGUAGCCGGCCUGAGAGGGUGUCCGGCCACACUGGGAUUGAGAUACGGCCCAGACUCCUUCGGGAGGCAGCAGUCGAGAAUCUUCCACAAUGUACGAAAGUAUGAUGGAGCGACGCCGCGUGUGUGAUGAAGGCUUUAUGAGUUGUAAAGCACUGUCAGAGGGGAAGAACAAGCGUAUAAAUAAUAAGUAUACGCUCUGACGUACCCUCAGAGGAAGCUCCGGCUAACUCCGUGCCAGCAGCCGCGGUAAUACGGAGGGAGCAAGCGUUGUCCGGAAUCAUUGGGCGUAAAGGGCACGUAGGCGGCUCGGUAAGUCGAAUGUGAAAUCCUCUGCCUUAACUGUGAAACUGCGUUCGAAACUACCGAACUUG
This 617-nucleotide ribosomal RNA is filed under the name uncultured bacterium. Its description in RNAcentral is "bacterial SSU rRNA". It matches the Rfam family "Bacterial small subunit ribosomal RNA", at positions 60 to 644 of the family's 1533-position model. The record is from RNAcentral.